This 18-nucleotide unclassified non-coding RNA is filed under the name Chlamydomonas reinhardtii. RNAcentral describes it as "small RNA Cre_3994". The record is from RNAcentral. Lineage: Eukaryota; Viridiplantae; Chlorophyta; Chlorophyceae; Chlamydomonadales; Chlamydomonadaceae.
UUGGCGUGUACAGCUGCA